This is a long non-coding RNA of Bufo gargarizans (Asiatic toad), 348 nucleotides long. RefSeq lists it as uncharacterized. The record is from RefSeq and is a predicted model, not a curated record. The transcript is spliced from 3 exons. NCBI's taxonomy places the organism in Eukaryota, Metazoa, Chordata, Amphibia, Anura, Bufonidae.
GGAGAAGGGGCGUUUUUUCCAGAAUACCGGAAGGAUUAAUUUUCUCCUUCCCUUUCUCCAGGGUUGACAUAUUUUUUUAUGCGUGGAACAUACCUGCAGAAGGAGCAGUCCCCGCAUGGGGCUGAUCCACGAUAUCUCUCAGCUUUUCUGCCACAUUUGGCUCCUUCUUCCAUGAGCUCGAUUGUAUGCUUUCCUCAGAGAUCUUUUGGGGUAACCCCUUUUACUGAACCUUUGAAGCAGUUGUUGACUCUCCCGAAAAAAGGAGGCUUCAUCCGAACAGUUACGACGUGCUCUCAGAUAUUGUCCUAUGGGAAUCCCUUUCUUAAGGGGAACUGGAUGCCAACUGUC